CCCCUAAACCAUUCAUCAAAGAAGGGUACUUUGGCAUGACUAACAUCCAUUCAAAAUCAAUGUUUUGAAAAUCUUUUAAAAUCUCUAUCUGUACUGCCGAGGAAUCAUGAGAAACUUAACGAAAUCCUUUUAUGAAAACUUUGUUGAACAUAACAAACUUUACUUUGAUAUUCAUAAACUGAAAUUGUACAUGCUUACAAACUAUAUUUACAUACCUUUGGUACUCACCUUAUGAAGUUUAGAACUCCAUAAGUGAUUACCUUAUUACACGCUUUCCUAUCUUCAAGCUAUCUAAUAUUUUUCUGAAUACAAGUAGUGUAUACAGAUUACAAGGAAUUUUUCUCUAAUGUGUUAUCAGAG
This 360-nucleotide long non-coding RNA is filed under the name Olea europaea subsp. europaea. The record is from RNAcentral. Lineage: Eukaryota; Viridiplantae; Streptophyta; Magnoliopsida; Lamiales; Oleaceae.